RNAcentral lists this transfer RNA (73 nucleotides) under Camelus bactrianus (Bactrian camel). It matches the Rfam family "tRNA". Rfam says of the family: Transfer RNA (tRNA) molecules are approximately 80 nucleotides in length. RNAcentral also lists the same sequence under 3 other names. The record is from Rfam by way of RNAcentral. Lineage: Eukaryota; Metazoa; Chordata; Mammalia; Artiodactyla; Camelidae.
GAGGGUAUGAGCUCAGUGCCAGGGUGCCUGCCUAGCAUGCACGAGGUCCUAGGUUCAAUCCCCAGUACCUCCA